GACGAACGCUGGCGGCGUGCUUAACACAUGCAAGUCGAACGGUGAAGCGCCUUCCUUUUUGGUGGGUGUGGAUGAGUGGCGAACGGGUGAGUAACACGUGAGUAACCUGCCCCCUUCUUCUGGAUAACCGCAUGAAAGUGUGGCUAAUACGGGAUAUUCUGGGUCUGUCGCAUGAUGGGUCUGGGAAAGAUAUUGUUUCGGUGGGGGAUGGGCUCGCGGCCUAUCAGCUUGUUGGUGGGGUGAUGGCCUACCAAGGCGGUGACGGGUAGCCGGCCUGAGAGGGUGGACGGUCACACUGGGACUGAGACACGGCCCAGACUCCUACGGGAGGCAGCAGUUGGGAAUAUUGCACAAUGGGCGCAAGCCUGAUGCAGCGACGCCGCGUGAGGGAUGGAGGCCUUCGGGUUGUGAACCUCUUUCGCCAGUGAAGCAGGCCUGCCUCGUUUGUGGGUGGGUUGACAGUAGCUGGAUAAGAAGCGCCGGCUAACUACGUG
Molecule: ribosomal RNA, 494 nt
Filed under: uncultured bacterium
Lineage: Bacteria
Description: partial 16S ribosomal RNA
Rfam family: Bacterial small subunit ribosomal RNA
Source: RNAcentral